ACGGGAAAUACUUCAUUGAGACUUCGGUGGAUUUGAUCUAUUUCUAGUGGCGGACGGGUGAGUAACGCGUGGGUAACCUGCCUUAUACAGGGGGAUAACAGUCAGAAAUGACUGCUAAUACCGCAUAAGCGCACAGGGCCGCAUGGCCCGGUGUGAAAAACUCCGGUGGUAUAAGAUGGACCCGCGUUGGAUUAGCUGGUUGGUGGGGUAACGGCCCACCAAGGCGGCGAUCCAUAGCCGGCCUGAGAGGGUGAACGGCCACAUUGGGACUGAGACACGGCCCAGACUCCUACGGGAGGCAGCAGUGGGGAACAUUGCACAAUGGGGGAAACCCUGAUGCAGCGACGCCGCGUGAAGGAAGAAGUAUCUCGGUAUGUAAACUUCUAUCAGCAGGGAAGAUAGUGACGGUACCUGACUAAGAAGCCCCGGCUAACUACGUGCCAGCAGCCGCGGUAAUACGUAGGGGGCAAGCGUUAUCCGGAUUUACUGGGUGUAAAGGGAGCGUAGACGGUGUGGCAAGUCUGAUGUGAAAGGCAUGGGCUCAACCUGUGGACUGCAUUGGAAACUGUCAUACUUGAGUGCCGGAGGGGUAAGCGGAAUUCCUAGUGUAGCGGUGAAAUGCGUAGAUAUUAGGAGGAACACCAGUGGCGAAGGCGGCUUACUGGACGGUAACUGACGUUGAGGCUCGAAAGCGUGGGGAGCAAAC
RNAcentral lists this ribosomal RNA (706 nucleotides) under uncultured Lachnospiraceae bacterium. RNAcentral's name for it is "bacterial SSU rRNA". It matches the Rfam family "Bacterial small subunit ribosomal RNA", at positions 66 to 773 of the family's 1533-position model. The record is from RNAcentral. Lineage: Bacteria; Bacillati; Bacillota; Clostridia; Lachnospirales; Lachnospiraceae.